ACUCCUACGGGAGGCAGCAGUGGGGAAGUAUUGCACAAUGGGGGAAACCCUGAUGCAGCCAUGCCGCGUGUGUGAAGAAGGCCUUGGUUGUAAAGCACUUUCAGUAGGGAGGAAGGUAGUGUAGUUACACCUGCACUAUUUGACGUUACCUACAGAAGAAGCACCGGCUAACUCCGUGCCAGCAGCCGCGGUAAUACGGAGGGUGCGAGCGUUAAUCGGAAUUACUGGGCGUAAAGCGCAUGCAGGCGGCCUGUUAAGUCAGAUGUGAAAGCCCGGGGUCUUAACCUCGGUAAUUGCAUUUGAAACUGGACAGGCUAGAGUCGUUGUAGAGGGGUUAGGAAUUUCAGGUGUAGCGGUAGAAAUGCGUAGAGAUCGUGAAGGAAUACCGAGUGGCGAAGCGGCCCCCUGGACAAGACUGACGCUCAGAUGCGAAAGCGUGGGAGCAAACAGGAUUAGAUACCCCGUGGUAGGUCAGUC
Molecule: ribosomal RNA, 477 nt
Filed under: uncultured bacterium
Lineage: Bacteria
Description: bacterial SSU rRNA
Rfam family: Bacterial small subunit ribosomal RNA
Source: RNAcentral